RNAcentral lists this long non-coding RNA (806 nucleotides) under Bos taurus (domestic cattle). RNAcentral describes it as "long non-coding RNA NONBTAT025199". Lineage: Eukaryota; Metazoa; Chordata; Mammalia; Artiodactyla; Bovidae. The record is from RNAcentral.
UGCUAUUGAACUGAUUGUUUAACGUAAAGGGAAGACUGCCUAUACCUCUGACCAAUGCUUUUUAAAUGAUCAGGCCUUGGAGUCAGACUGUGGUACCUGUAGCUGAUGGUUUAAGAAGAAAGAGGGGAGAGGAAGGGAGACCAAGAGGAGUGAUUUCUUUUUUAAAAAAUGAGUGUUAAUUUUUGUUGAUGAGUUUGGAUCCAGGAUAGUUUAUUACCCUGGGAUUUUCAUGUAAUAGAAAAGAGAACAUCUCCCUUCUUGUUCAAGGCAAAAAUCUGAGGCUGGGUGUUAAAUUUGGAGGAUUUAUCUUUUGUCAAUUUUGAUUUCUUUUUUCCAAAUUCCAAGAGAGGCAAACUUGAAUAUGUAUGUAUGGGGCUGGGGGUUGUGAAAUGAGGAUGAGGAUGCAAAAGAAAAGGAUGGUUUAAAGGUUUAGAUGGUCUACCUAUUUGGGGUUUGUCUAUACACACUCCUGCAAUAGUUUUAUUUUUCUGCAUCAGUGUAGGAGUUUAUUCAGAGAAGGAAGUUCCUAGAGUCUGUCCCACAGGAAGAUUAGCUAUUUUUGUUUUUCCACAACUAUUUGUUUGUUUUUUUAGUCACAAAUUUGUGGCUGCUGUGUUUUUAUGACUGUGUUUUGGGGUUGCUUUGGUCUGAGUUGCAGAUUUAUCCACCACGCAUCUAUUUUGUGUGUGUUGAAUUGUGCCUUUCAAGACCAGCAAAUGAUGGUUUGAAAUGGGAAACGUAUUCUAAGUGCCUUAAUCUUAUACUUGAAACACAGGCCAUUGGAGAGCCAAGAUGAUUCCCAAUAA